This is a non-coding RNA of Leptospira interrogans serovar Bataviae str. HAI135, 121 nucleotides long. The record is from Rfam. Lineage: Bacteria; Pseudomonadati; Spirochaetota; Leptospiria; Leptospirales; Leptospiraceae.
GAAGGUAGGCCCUUCGAAAUCGUUGUUCAGGCAAAGAUUUCAAACCACUGAUUGCUGCUUUGUUAAAGAGACAAGGUGGUAAGCGAAUCAGCAAAAAAAAGUAUGUAUCAACAUAUUAGGU